ACACAUGCAAGUCGAACGAGCGAGAGAGAGCUUGCUUUCUCGAGCGAGUGGCGAACGGGUGAGUAACGCGUGAGGAACCUGCCUCAAAGAGGGGGACAACAGUUGGAAACGACUGCUAAUACCGCAUAAGCCCACGGGUCGGCAUCGACCAGAGGGAAAAGGAGCAAUCCGCUUUGAGAUGGCCUCGCGUCCGAUUAGCUAGUUGGUGAGGUAAUGGCCCACCAAGGCGACGAUCGGUAGCCGGACUGAGAGGUUGAACGGCCACAUUGGGACUGAGACACGGCCCAGACUCCUACGGGAGGCAGCAGUGGGGAAUAUUGCACAAUGGGGGAAACCCUGAUGCAGCGACGCCGCGUGGAGGAAGAAGGUCUUCGGAUUGUAAACUCCUGUUGUUGGGGAAGAUAAUGACGGUACCCAACAAGGAAGUGACGGCUAACUACGUGCCAGCAGCCGCGGUAAAACGUAGGUCACAAGCGUUGUCCGGAAUUACUGGGUGUAAAGGGAGCGCAGGCGGGAAGACAAGUUGGAAGUGAAAUCUAUGGGCUCAACCCAUAAACUGCUUUCAAAACUGUUUUUCUUGAGUAGUGCAGAGGUAGGCGGAAUUCCCGGUGUAGCGGUGGAAUGCGUAGAUAUCGGGAGGAACACCAGUGGCGAAGGCGGCCUACUGGGCACCAACUGACGCUGAGGCUCGAAAGUGUGGGUAGCAAACAGGAUUAGAUACCCUGGUAGUCCACACCGUAAACGAUGAUUACUAGGUGUUGGAGGAUUGACCCCUUCAGUGCCGCAGUUAACACAAUAAGUAAUCCACCUGGGG
Molecule: ribosomal RNA, 814 nt
Filed under: uncultured bacterium
Lineage: Bacteria
Description: bacterial SSU rRNA
Rfam family: Bacterial small subunit ribosomal RNA
Source: RNAcentral